Molecule: ribosomal RNA, 252 nt
Filed under: uncultured bacterium
Lineage: Bacteria
Description: partial 16S ribosomal RNA
Rfam family: Bacterial small subunit ribosomal RNA
Source: RNAcentral
UACGUAGGAUGCGAGCGUUAUCCGGAUUUAUUGGGUUUAAAGGGUGCGUAGGCGGAUCGUUAAGUCAGUGGUCAAAUUGAGGGGCUCAACCCCUUCCCGCCAUUGAAACUGGCGAUCUUGAGUGGAAGAGAAGUAUGCGGAAUGCGUGGUGUAGCGGUGAAAUGCAUAGAUAUCACGCAGAACCCCGAUUGCGAAGGCAGCAUGCCGGCUUCCGACUGACGCUGAAGCACGAAAGCGUGGGGAUCGAACAGG